ACGAACGCUGGCGGCGUGCCUAAUACAUGCAAGUCGAACGGUCUUUCUAUGGAAGCUUGCUUCCACUGAGAAGAUAGUGGCGAACGGGUGAGUAACACGUGGGUAACCUGCCCAUAAGAGGGGGGAUAACAUCCGGAAACGGGUGCUAAUACCGCAUAGUUUUCUUGAUCGCAUGAUCGGGAAAGGAAAGACGGCCUUUGUGCUGUCGCUUAUGGAUGGACCCGCGGCGUAUUAGUUAGUUGGUGAGGUAACGGCUCACCAAGACGAUGAUACGUAGCCGACCUGAGAGGGUGAUCGGCCACAUUGGGACUGAGACACGGCCCAAACUCCUACGGGAGGCAGCAGUAGGGAAUCUUCCGCAAUGGACGAAAGUCUGACGGAGCAGCGCCGCGUGAGUGAAGAAAGGUUUUCGGAUCGUAAAACUCUGUUGUCAGAGAAGAACAAGUUGGAGAGUAACUGCUCCAGCCUUGACGGUAUCUGACCAGAAAGCCACGGCUAACUACGUGCCAGCCGCCGC
Molecule: ribosomal RNA, 517 nt
Filed under: uncultured bacterium
Lineage: Bacteria
Description: bacterial SSU rRNA
Rfam family: Bacterial small subunit ribosomal RNA
Source: RNAcentral